UGCAAGUCGAGCGCGGGAAGCCGGCGGACUCCUUCGGGAGGAAACCGGUGGAACGAGCGGCGGACGGGUGAGUAACACGUGGGCAACCUGCCGGACUGAUGGCGAAUAACCCCGGGAAACCGGGGCUAAUGCCCAAUACGCCCUGACCUCGCCUGAGGUCAGCGGUAAAGCAGGGAUCUUCGGAUCCUUGCACAGUCCGAUGGGCCCGCGGCGCAUUAGCUAGUUGGAGAGGUAAGGGCUCCCCAAGGCGACGAUGCGUAGCCGACCUGAGAGGGUGAUCGGCCACACUGGGACUGAGACACGCCCAGACUCCUACGGGAGGCAGCAGUAGGGAAUCAUCCGCAAUGGGCGAAAGCCUGACGGUGCAACGCCGCGUGAGUGAUGAAGGUUUUCGGAUCGUAAAGCUCUGUUGACAGGGAAGAACCCACGUCAGUCGAACAGGCUGGCGUGCUGACGGUACCUGACCAGAAAGCCCCCGGCUAACUACGUGCCAGCAGCCGCGGUAAUACGUAGGGGGCAAGCGUUGUCCGGAAUUAUUGGGCGUAAAGGGCACGCAGGCGGUUUCGUCAGUCCGAUGUGACAGGCCACGGCUCAACCGUGGAAGGCCAUUGGAAACUGCGAAACUUGAGGACAGAAGAGGAGAGUGGAAUUCCACGUGUAGCGGUGAAAUGCGUAGUAUAUGUGGAGGAACACCAGUGGCGAAGGCGACUCUCUGGUCUGUACCUGACGCUGAGGUGCGAAAGCAUGGGGAGCAAACAGGAUUAGAUACCCUGGUAGUCCAUGCCG
RNAcentral lists this ribosomal RNA (786 nucleotides) under Marinococcus sp. CH-03. Its description in RNAcentral is "bacterial SSU rRNA". It matches the Rfam family "Bacterial small subunit ribosomal RNA", at positions 56 to 802 of the family's 1533-position model. Lineage: Bacteria; Bacillati; Bacillota; Bacilli; Caryophanales; Bacillaceae. The record is from RNAcentral.